UACGUAGGGGGCAAGCGUUGUUCGGAAUUACUGGGCGUAAAGGGCGCGUAGGCGGCACAGCAAGUCGGGCGUGAAAGCCCGGGGCUCAACCCCGGAACAGCUUUCGAAACUGCUGAGCUAGAGUACAGAAGGGGCAACCGGAAUUCCCAGUGUAGCGGUGAAAUGCGUAGAUAUUGGGAAGAACACCUGAGGCGAAGGCGGGUUGCUGGGCUGACACUGACGCUGAGGCGCGAAAGCGUGGGGAGCAAACAGG
This 253-nucleotide ribosomal RNA is filed under the name uncultured bacterium. Its description in RNAcentral is "partial 16S ribosomal RNA". It matches the Rfam family "Bacterial small subunit ribosomal RNA", at positions 524 to 776 of the family's 1533-position model. The record is from RNAcentral.